Molecule: transfer RNA, 76 nt
Filed under: Ancylobacter aquaticus
Lineage: Bacteria; Pseudomonadati; Pseudomonadota; Alphaproteobacteria; Hyphomicrobiales; Xanthobacteraceae
Also listed under: 63 other names
Description: tRNA-Asn
Rfam family: tRNA
About the family: Transfer RNA (tRNA) molecules are approximately 80 nucleotides in length. Their secondary structure includes four short double-helical elements and three loops (D, anti-codon, and T loops).
Source: RNAcentral
UCCCUGAUAGCUCAGUUGGUAGAGCGUUCGACUGUUAAUCGAAUGGUCGCAGGUUCGAGUCCUGCUCAGGGAGCCA